UUAAGCUACAAAGGGCUUACGGUGGAUGCCUUGGCA
RNAcentral lists this ribosomal RNA (36 nucleotides) under Bdellovibrio sp. TP. RNAcentral's name for it is "partial 23S ribosomal RNA". The record is from RNAcentral. Lineage: Bacteria; Pseudomonadati; Bdellovibrionota; Bdellovibrionia; Bdellovibrionales; Pseudobdellovibrionaceae.